GAUGAACGCUGACAGAAUGCUUAACACAUGCAAGUCGAUGGGGAAGUGGUGCUUGCACCAUGGUAACCAUGGCGGACGGGUGAGUGACGCGUAAGGAACUUACCUGCGGGACCGGGAUAACAGCAGGAAACUGCUGACAAGACCGGAUAAGGUCAUUAAGCUGCAUAGCUUAGUGAUGAAAGGAGACGCCUGCGGAGAGCCUUGCGUCCUAUUAGCUAGUUGGAGGGGUAACGGCCCACCAAGGCGAAGAUAGGUAGCCGGCCUGAGAGGGUGGACGGCCACAAGGGGACUGAGAUACGGCCCUUACUCCUACGGGAGGCGGCAGUGGGGAAUAUUGGACAAUGGGGGCAACCCUGAUCCAGCAAUUCUGUGUGCACGAAGACGGUUUUCGGAUUGUAAAGUGCUUUCAGCAGGGAAGAAGGAAGUGACGGUACCUGCAGAAGAAGCGACGGCUAAAUACGUG
Molecule: ribosomal RNA, 463 nt
Filed under: uncultured bacterium
Lineage: Bacteria
Description: partial 16S ribosomal RNA
Rfam family: Bacterial small subunit ribosomal RNA
Source: RNAcentral